GCCGCCCUGAAUGGGCCGAAGGCCUGCGCUCGUGCGUGGGGUACGGACGUAGGCAGGUCGGGGCGGC
Molecule: non-coding RNA, 67 nt
Filed under: unclassified sequences
Description: DUF3800-VIII RNA
Rfam family: DUF3800-VIII RNA
About the family: Bacteroidetes, Cyanobacteria, Firmicutes, Planctomycetes (1 example), Proteobacteria, Tenericutes (1 example). Nearby to DUF3800
Source: Rfam by way of RNAcentral